This 429-nucleotide ribosomal RNA is filed under the name Bacteroidota bacterium. RNAcentral describes it as "Bacteroidetes bacterium partial 16S ribosomal RNA". It matches the Rfam family "Bacterial small subunit ribosomal RNA", at positions 355 to 776 of the family's 1533-position model. The record is from RNAcentral. Lineage: Bacteria; Pseudomonadati; Bacteroidota.
UAGGGAAUCUUCGGCAAUGGGGGGAACCCUGACCGAGCAACGCCGCGUGAGUGAAGAAGGUUUUCGGAUCGUAAAGCUCUGAUGUUAAGGAAGAACGAGUGUGAGAAUGGAAAGUUCAUGCUGUGACGGUACUUAACCAGAAAGGGACGGCUAACUACGUGCCAGCAGCCGCGGUAAUACGUAGGUCCCGAGCGUUGUCCGGAUUUAUUGGGCGUAAAGCGAGCGCAGGCGGUUAGAAAAGUCUGAAGUGAAAGGCAGUGGCUCAACCAUUGUAGGCUUUGGAAACUGUUUAACUUGAGUGCAGAAGGGGAGAGUGGAAUUCCAUGUGUAGCGGUGAAAUGCGUAGAUAUAUGGAGGAACACCGGUGGCGAAAGCGGCUCUCUGGUCUGUAACUGACGCUGAGGCUCGAAAGCGUGGGGAGCGAACAGG